AGUUGUGGAAGGUAGAAUGGAAAUUGCAACAACAAAAUCCUAAUUCUAAUAGAAUAUUAAUAAUACUCUAAUUAGACCAUAAUAAUGCUAAGCAAGCUUUAAUCAAAUUCAAAAAAACCUCAAAGAAAUUUCAAAGAAAUAAUAAGAAAUAUUAAAGAAAUAUUAGAAUGAUCACAAAUAUAUCUCAAAUACACCUCAAUUCAAUCUUAAUUAAAUCUAGUUUAAAUUCUAUUGGACUUCAUUCAAACUUUAGACCAAAAUUAAUUAAAUCUUAAACCUUAAAAAAAUCCUAAUAAAAUCCUAAAUCCUAAAUCAAAUCCUAAACCCUAAACCAAAUCCUAACUAAAUCCUAAAUCCUAAACGAAGCCCUAAAUAAACCUUAAACCAAAUCCUAACCAAAUCCUAAUCCAAAUCCUAAAUCCUAAACUAAAUCCUAAUCAAAUCCUAAAUCCUAAAUGAAAUCCUAACCAAACUCUAAACCCUAAAUCAAACCCUAU
This 497-nucleotide long non-coding RNA is filed under the name Physcomitrium patens. RNAcentral's name for it is "long non-coding RNA (PPAT_LNC002443)". Lineage: Eukaryota; Viridiplantae; Streptophyta; Bryopsida; Funariales; Funariaceae. The record is from RNAcentral.